UACGGGGGGGGCAAGCGUUGUUCGGAAUUACUGGGCGUAAAGGGCUCGUAGGUGGCCAACUAAGUCAGACGUGAAAUCCCUCGGCUUAACCGGGGAACUGCGUCUGAUACUGGAUGGCUUGAGUUCGGGAGAGGGAUGCGGAAUUCCAGGUGUAGCGGUGAAAUGCGUAGAUAUCUGGAGGAACACCGGUGGCGAAGGCGGCAUCCUGGACCGACACUGACACUGAGGAGCGAAGGCCAGGGGAGCAAACGGG
This 253-nucleotide ribosomal RNA is filed under the name uncultured bacterium. RNAcentral describes it as "partial 16S ribosomal RNA". It matches the Rfam family "Bacterial small subunit ribosomal RNA", at positions 524 to 776 of the family's 1533-position model. The record is from RNAcentral.